Molecule: long non-coding RNA, 374 nt
Filed under: Brassica napus (rape)
Lineage: Eukaryota; Viridiplantae; Streptophyta; Magnoliopsida; Brassicales; Brassicaceae
Description: long non-coding RNA (BNAP_LNC023778)
Source: RNAcentral
AGAUGAAAUGUAAUUUUCACAUAAGCGUUUAUACUUUGGUUUUCUUGUUGUUUAAUAUUCAAUAGAUACAUAUGAUCAAUGAAAUCAGCCAUAGAUGUAGAUUAAGUGAACACAAUUCAUUUUCGAGUAUACCAUUCUAUUUAAUAAUUUUACUAAUACUUGUUAUACCAUCUAGUUUGCUCAAUAUUAUUUUUAUUCUAUGUUAUAAAAGACCAUUAAUUUCCAUAUCCUUGUCCGUCUGUAUAACCAUCACCAUCAUUGUCACUACCACCACAACCACCACCAACUCCAUUGUCUAUUUUACAUAUUUCAACUCUUAUCACAGCUUCACCGACACCACCGUACUCACCUCCAUCGAUACUACAAUAACCAUC